RNAcentral lists this long non-coding RNA (524 nucleotides) under Carica papaya (papaya). RNAcentral's name for it is "long non-coding RNA (CPAP_LNC013317)". Lineage: Eukaryota; Viridiplantae; Streptophyta; Magnoliopsida; Brassicales; Caricaceae. The record is from RNAcentral.
UCGAAUUUUUCAAUGAACAAUCCCAUUCUCAUAGAAUGUAGAAGCAUAAUUCAGUAUCGUGCCAACCGGCUUAGGGAUACCAUACCAUACAGCCACAAAUAAGCAAAUAAAAAGUCAGACUCAAGAUGAGAGUAAGUUGCAACAGAGACAAGAAUGAAGAAGGUUAUUUUAUGCUCAUCAGUUUUGUUUGACUAAUCAACUCGUAGAACGAAAUCAACAUGGUCACAAGAUCAUGACAUGAGUGUGGUUAGUGGUGAUUGUCAAUUCUGUAACUCAUUAAAAAGUAGCUGAUCUAAUCCUCAAGGUUUCAGCGUAAUUUAAAAGAAAUUAAUGAAGGAAGAACGAAAGAGAAAGAAUAAGUUUGCAUUCAUCCUCGGAAUCCAAAUUACGGAAAAAUAAAGCACCAAGAAAAAUGUACAAUACCAAGAAGUUCUUUCUUUAUUUUUCCCCCUUCAGAUUACAGGCACCAAAACCUAUAUGGAAGCAAUCAACAACAUGGAAAAUUGAAGUAAGAGCCGAACAGU